GGCCAAGUUUUUAAGGGCGCACGGUGGAUGCCUUGGCACCAGGAACCGAUGAAGGACGUGGGAGGCCACGAUAGUCCCCGGGGAGCCGUCAACCAGGCUUUGAUCCGGGGGUUUCCGAAUGGGGAAACCCGGCAGUCGUCAUGGGCUGUCACCCGCUGCUGAACACAUAGGCAGUGUGGAGGGAACGAGGGGAAGUGAAACAUCUCAGUACCCUCAGGAAGAGAAAACAACCGUGAUUCCGGGAGUAGUGGCGAGCGAAACCGGAUGAGGCCAAACCGUAUGCGUGUGAUACCCGGCAGGGGUUGCGCAUGCGGGGUUGUGGGAUCUCUCUUUCACAGUCUGCCGGCUGUGAGACGAGUCAGAAACCGUAUGGAUAGGCGAAGGACAUGCGAAAGGUCCGGCGUAGAGGGUAAGACCCCCGUAGCUGAAAUUCAUGCGGCUCGUUUGAGAGACACCCAAGUAGCACGGGGCCCGAGAAAUCCCGUGUGAAUCU
RNAcentral lists this non-coding RNA (493 nucleotides) under Streptomyces kanasensis. RNAcentral's name for it is "Streptomyces sp. ZX01 Bacterial large subunit ribosomal RNA". It matches the Rfam family "Bacterial large subunit ribosomal RNA", at positions 1 to 445 of the family's 2925-position model. The record is from Rfam by way of RNAcentral. Lineage: Bacteria; Bacillati; Actinomycetota; Actinomycetes; Kitasatosporales; Streptomycetaceae.